RNAcentral lists this ribosomal RNA (433 nucleotides) under uncultured bacterium. RNAcentral's name for it is "partial 16S ribosomal RNA". It matches the Rfam family "Bacterial small subunit ribosomal RNA", at positions 29 to 507 of the family's 1533-position model. The record is from RNAcentral.
AACGAACGCUGGCGGCAUGCCUAACACAUGCAAGUCGAACGAGACCUUCGGGUCUAGUGGCGCACGGGUGCGUAACGCGUGGGAACCUGCCCUUAGGUUCGGAAUAACUCCCCGAAAGGGGUGCUAAUACCGGCUAAUGUCUUCGGACCAAAGAUUUAUCGCCUUUGGAUGGGCCCGCGUUGGAUUAGCUCGUUGGUAGGGUAAAAGCCUACCAAGGCGACGAUCCAUAGCUGGUCUGAGAGGAUGAUCAGCCACACUGGGACUGAGACACGGCCCAGACUCCUACGGGAGGCAGCAGUGGGGAAUAUUGGACAAUGGGCGAAAGCCUGAUCCAGCAAUGCCGCGUGAGUGAUGAAGGCCUUAGGGUUGUAAAGCUCUUUUACCCGGGAUGAUAAUGACAGUACCGGGAGAAUAAGCUCCGGCUAACUCCGUG